RNAcentral lists this transfer RNA (83 nucleotides) under Polyangium mundeleinium. RNAcentral's name for it is "tRNA-Ser". Lineage: Bacteria; Pseudomonadati; Myxococcota; Polyangiales; Polyangiaceae. The record is from RNAcentral.
GGAAGACGAACUGAUCAGGGAUCAGACCUGUUUCGAAAACAGUGGGCACCCACGGGUGUGGGGUUCGAGUCCUCCGUCUUCCG